CGCAGCUAGCUGCGAGAAUUAAUGUGAAUUGCAGGACACAUUGAUCAUCGACACUUCGAACGCACUUGCGCCCCGGGUUCCUCCCGGGGCUACGCCUGUCUGAGCGUCG
Molecule: ribosomal RNA, 109 nt
Filed under: Bison bison bison
Lineage: Eukaryota; Metazoa; Chordata; Mammalia; Artiodactyla; Bovidae
Description: 5.8S ribosomal RNA (ENSBBBG00000006572.1)
Rfam family: 5.8S ribosomal RNA
About the family: 5.8S ribosomal RNA (5.8S rRNA) is a component of the large subunit of the eukaryotic ribosome. It is transcribed by RNA polymerase I as part of the 45S precursor that also contains 18S and 28S rRNA.
Source: Rfam by way of RNAcentral